RNAcentral lists this ribosomal RNA (500 nucleotides) under uncultured bacterium. RNAcentral describes it as "partial 16S ribosomal RNA". It matches the Rfam family "Bacterial small subunit ribosomal RNA", at positions 28 to 523 of the family's 1533-position model. The record is from RNAcentral.
GACGAACGCUGGCGGCGUGCCUAAUACAUGCAAGUCGAGCGAGACUCUUCGGAGUCUAGCGGCGGACGGGUGAGUAACACGUGGGCAACCUGCCUGUAAGACUGGGAUAACACCGGGAAACCGGUGCUAAUACCGGAUAAUCCUUUUUCUCUCAUGAGGAAAAGCUGAAAGUCGGUUUCGGCUGACACUUACAGAUGGGCCCGCGGCGCAUUAGCUAGUUGGUGAGGUAACGGCUCACCAAGGCGACGGUGCGUAGCCGACCUGAGAGGGUGAUGGGCCACACUGGGACUGAGACACGGCCCAGACUCCUACGGGAGGCAGCAGUAGGGAAUCUUCCACAAUGGACGAAAGUCUGAUGGAGCAACGCCGCGUGAGCGAUGAAGGCCUUCGGGUCGUAAAGCUCUGUUGUUAGGGAAGAACAAGUACCGGAGUAACUGCCGGUACCUUGACGGUACCUAACCAGAAAGCCACGGCUAACUACGUGCCAGCAGCCGCCGUAA